UUUGACGGCCAAAGCGGCGGGGUCACGCCUGGUCUCAUCCGAACCCAGAAGCUAAGCCCGCCCGCGUACGCUGUUGUACUGUGGUGCGCGAGCCCACGGGAAGCUUCGCACGCUGUCAGCC
RNAcentral lists this ribosomal RNA (121 nucleotides) under Methanomassiliicoccales archaeon. The record is from RNAcentral. Lineage: Archaea; Methanobacteriati; Thermoplasmatota; Thermoplasmata; Methanomassiliicoccales.